RNAcentral lists this ribosomal RNA (479 nucleotides) under Aquiflexum sp. RNAcentral describes it as "bacterial SSU rRNA". It matches the Rfam family "Bacterial small subunit ribosomal RNA", at positions 262 to 739 of the family's 1533-position model. The record is from RNAcentral. Lineage: Bacteria; Pseudomonadati; Bacteroidota; Cytophagia; Cytophagales; Cyclobacteriaceae.
GGCCCACCAAGACUGUGAUCCUUAGGGGUUCUGAGAGGAAGGUCCCCCACACUGGCACUGAGAUACGGGCCAGACUCCUACGGGAGGCAGCAGUAGGGAAUAUUGGGCAAUGGGCGGGAGCCUGACCCAGCCAUGCCGCGUGCAGGAAGAAGGCGUUAUGCGUUGUAAACUGCUUUUAUACGGGAAGAAAAGGCCCAUGCGUGGGACAUUGCCGGUACCGUAUGAAUAAGCACCGGCUAACUCCGUGCCAGCAGCCGCGGUAAUACGGAGGGUGCAAGCGUUGUCCGGAUUUAUUGGGUUUAAAGGGUGCGUAGGCGGCCCGUUAAGUCAGCGGUGAAAGUCUGUGGCUCAACCAUAGAAGCGCCGUUGAUACUGAUGGGCUUGAGUGCCGUAUGGGUACAUGGAAUUGAUGGUGUAGCGGUGAAAUGCAUAGAUACCAUCAGGAACACCGAUAGCGUAGGCAUUGUACUGUGCGGCAA